AGAAGUGAUGACUAAUCUGUAAGAUGGCUGCCAACAUAUAAAGAUAAUAACGAAGAAGGUGUCCCGUUGAAUUCAAAUCAGAAAGAAUAAUUGUACUUGACAGUAAAGAUAGUGAUGCUGACAGUAUAAAGAUGUAUACAGACAGUAUAAAUGGAAAUUAUAUGGAAUUUGACAGCGAAGAAGGAACGAACGAAUUAUCUCUGUUAGAGUUGAAAAGUCCGAAAAAAACUAAGUUGUCAACAAAGCGAACACGACAUUCCCUUGAGCGCACGCUCGAAAGCGCACAAGCUGGUGUGCAGUGACGUGCGAAAUAUCGCGGACAAAUGGACUUUGACUUUCCAUCCCGUGCUUUCUUCGUUCUUCCUCGAUCUUGAUGUUCGAAACCUGGCAUUCCAAGGUCGUUAAAGGGAAAAAUAUAGGCAACGAACGAAGACUCUCCGAGACUCCACCUGGCCAGAGUUAGAAGUAUUUCUGAACUGCGAAGAAAGAAAAACGGACUUGCAACUAUUCGUUGCUCGGACGUAUAUUCUGCGAACGUAGGUUGGUUAGGAAGAGGUUUUAGACGUUCCUGUGGGAUCGUGUAACAAGACCGGUUCUAUAAAACGAUCGAUGUAAUCGGCCUCGUGGGAUGGGGAGGCCGAGCUAAGGCGGCUAAGGGCACGGUGCACCCUACGAAAGAGCGAGCUAAGCCAAAAGAUUCGCCGCGAUGGAGAAUAGGCACCGUAGCUUUUCAUGACUGCACCCACCACUCCCCGGAUGCCACUUUCGUUGAAAUAUCGCCGUGACUAGACGCAAAUUCGUCUACCAUAAAUAACAAUCUUGAAAUUUCUACGACGUCAUAGAUCGUUGUGCCGGCUCUCUCUCUCUCCAUCUGUUCUUCCCUGCCUUUUUUUUUCGAUGACGAUCUUUUGUUAAUAACCUUCCUAAAAAAGAAAAUAUGUUCGAUAUAACGAAAUGUGAUUAAACGUUAUUGUUGAUGACAUAUUCGAUCGAUAAGAAGCUUACCCAACCUUAAUCUGCACGAUACACGAUAUGGGAUAAUUGCAUAACUGUGUUCCAUUAACGUUUCCUGUUAUUUGGUGAUGACAAUAUUAGCACUAUAUAAGCACAGACGAGGUAUGCACUGCAGCACUACUAGUGAUGAAAAUUAAAAUUAAAAAAUAUGAACAGUAUUGUCACAUCUUCGAGAAUUAUUUAUGGAAUUGAACGUGGUGAUACUUCAUCAAUGAAGGAAUAUAACAAUUUAAAACAGCGACUGAUGGAAAUUGGGAUGAAAAAUUGUAUAUUUGAUUAUUUAAAGGUAUUAGAAAAAAUUAAUUGAAAUAUAUUUAACAACAUAAUUAAAACGGGGAAAACAAAUUGUAUAGGUAGUUUUAAGAGUUCAAUGUAAAGGGAAGAUUUCAAUUUUCAAGAUCAUGAUUGAUCUGAUCAUAAAAAAAUUGUUCAGUGAUGGAAAAACUUCUCUUUGGCGAGAUGUUCGAAUUUUUGUAAUUUUCGAGUAGAAAAGUAUUUUUAUUUUUACACUUGUUGUAUG
This is a long non-coding RNA of Frieseomelitta varia, 1534 nucleotides long. RefSeq lists it as uncharacterized. NCBI's taxonomy places the organism in Eukaryota, Metazoa, Arthropoda, Insecta, Hymenoptera, Apidae. The transcript is spliced from 4 exons. The record is from RefSeq and is a predicted model, not a curated record.